This 432-nucleotide long non-coding RNA is filed under the name Triticum aestivum (bread wheat). RNAcentral's name for it is "long non-coding RNA (TAES_LNC003698)". Lineage: Eukaryota; Viridiplantae; Streptophyta; Magnoliopsida; Poales; Poaceae. The record is from RNAcentral.
GUGGAGUGGGGCAGCAGCUGGGACAAGAGGAUGUCAUGGGAGGGGUGGGUGUCAUGGGGGAGGGUGAUGAGGGAUAAAGCCAAGGAGAAACAAUGGCCGCGCUCCGCCUGGGGCAUCAUCAACCUCGGACUCGUCAAGCAGAUCCACGACCACAACUAGCUGCCGUCUCGCUCGAUCAGUUGUGGUGCUUACUUAGCGCGAGUUUGUCUUCAUUAAAUAGCUGUGUGAUGGUGUGGUACCUGAGUAUGUGACCUAUAUAUGUUUGUCAUUGUGUGGUCAUUAGCGUGAUGUUAUGGUAUCUGAGUGUAUGUGACCUAUGUUGUCUCGUAUGGUUGAAUAGCUACUAAUAAUGCAAUGAAUGUUGAGCCACCAUGAGUGUCAAAAAAGAGUUGCGCUUGAUUUUUUUUAUUAAUCCUUAAUCACAACCAAGUC